GUUGACCUCGGAUCAGGUAGGAAUACCCGCUG
RNAcentral lists this non-coding RNA (32 nucleotides) under Fusarium oxysporum. RNAcentral also lists the same sequence under 7 other names. The record is from RNAcentral. Lineage: Eukaryota; Fungi; Ascomycota; Sordariomycetes; Hypocreales; Nectriaceae.